UGCGAUUGAGAUUUACCAAGGAUG
RNAcentral lists this non-coding RNA (24 nucleotides) under Arabidopsis thaliana (thale cress). The record is from RNAcentral. Lineage: Eukaryota; Viridiplantae; Streptophyta; Magnoliopsida; Brassicales; Brassicaceae.